UCAGGGCCUGCACUUUUGUUUUACUCACCCCAGCUACUGCAGCGUUUGAGCCAUCCGAGGAGUUUAAAUCUUUAUCUUGGACGAUCAAGAACAAAGAUUCAGAACGUGGCUGUUAGGAAAAAAAAGGCUCCCAAGACUCUGCCUGAUCGCUUGCCACGGAGCUGGAAACACCCACCCUGGCUGCUCCAGUGCUUGCAAAAGUUCACCAGCCGUUCUAACCAGCAAAGCAUGACAUGAGUCAGCAACUUUGAGACCUCUAUGUGACUACCCACCCGGAAUAAAUUUCACAGAGAGAUAAUGGUCUCAUCAUGUCCCUGGUGUGGUAAGGAGAGAAACUCCAUCUGUAAGAGGGAAAGUUGGACUGAAAAUUAGCUGCAGGCCUUGAACUAGCAGUCUCCACUAAUCUCCUUGAUUUAUUAAGGCAGAAUUUAGGAUCAUCUACAGUAUGAAAAAUCAAGUAAAAUGUUGAUUAGCUGGAGUAAAGUUUGGAUUUAGUAACGUCAUGAAGAGACAGGGAAUUUACUGCAGCUUCUUGCCUGCACCUAUCUCCUUCUCCAGCCACUAUACGCUGCUCCUCCGUCUUCCUGCUCAGGCCCCCAUCCAGCCAAGCAGUGAUGGGGAGGUCCUCUCAGGUUAAAAAUAUAUGUCCAAUUCAACUGCUGCCGAAGAGGGUCACUAGCUAAGUAGUUGGUCUGAGAUUCCAGAGUCUUGAAGGAGGCGUCUGCUUCCUUUCCCCUACAAAAUGGUUUGGAAGACGAUCCUGUUUUUCUUCAGUGACAGGGAUACAGUGAAUGAGUACAAGUCUCAAGAUAAUCGCGCUUAAAGUCCAAGUUGCUGGAAUUGUUUUUAGGGGAACUCCUACAGUUUAGGGGAAGAGUUUCAGUCCCUCAGGAACCACACAUGGAGUGUCCUUUCUCUGCACUUGAGUGGCAGAAAAUGAGGAAGAACUGAGAGGAGGUAGCAGUUGCCUCUACAAAACCAUGUCCCCACAUGCCCUGAACUCAGUGAAGGACCCUCCACUUGUGUAAGAAGGUAAAGGAGCUGAGUCCAGCAGUGACAAGGUCAGUGAGACUUCCCCCAUGACCAGCAUUAAAUCUGCAGAUAAGUAUCAGGGUGUCCGUUAUUUUUCUAUUCUCCGCCAUGUGGGAGGGGGGAAGAGUCAUGCUGUCAGAUUGCCAGGGUCUGAAAGGGCAGGAGUCUUGGAGUUGUGCUCAGAAGCACAAGGUCUCUGCACAGAUGGUUCUGUGCCUCUGCCAUAUUCAAUACUAUGUAUCAUUGAACCUUUUCUCAUUCUGCAGUGAGAAGAGACAUUCCUGGCCUGUCCCUUCCCAGCUUCAUAAUCCAGGAGGAAACAUCUGUAUCGAGCCUCAGAAACCCCUUCCUCUGCCCCACUACACUCCCUGGUCUCUUCCCAUUUUUUUCUCAUGGGGGUGAGGGCAAUCUUGUCUGUGUUAGGACCUUAGACUUUGGCCCACAGUAAACUGUUGGGAAUUAGACAUGAAUCAGGCUUGCGUAUUGACACUAGAGUUUUAUUUUAUGCUCUGUAUUUCAGCACUGGGUGUUUCAUCCUCCUAUGACAAAGUUACAUAUUUUCAGCCAAAGAAUUUACUGGAUGCAAGACAUUCUAGGAAGAUACUAAGGGAAAGUAAUCUCUACCUUUCCAUCACAAGGAUGCUAAAAGAACAGUGGACAUUUAUAAUAAUGUGAUAGCUACUGUGUUAACUCCAUUCGUGCCCUAGUUUGAUUUUGUUCUACACAGUGUAAACAGUGCUGGUGUAGGCCCAUGCAUUUGGGGCAAGACUAAACCUACAGCAAGCUUUUCAUUUUUGGUAUAACUGAAUGCAAAUGCUGUGCUGGGGGCAAUAGAGGCAGAUUUGGUAUGGUCUCACUGGUAUAGCAGUGGUUUCAGGCAUCCCAGCCAAUGACAGGAGAAUUCUAGGCUCAUGUGUGGUGUGUUCCCCCAGAUUGGUUUUGGCACGAAUGCAUGUAGCUGUAGUCUGUCUUUUCAAGAAGCUUUUCAGAAGGAUGGCCUGGACUCCCAUGUACAGGAGAUACACGGCUGUGUGCUUUUGUUAUAAGGGGAUAUGCAGUGUCUGAUUAAUUUAAUUUACUGACCAGAGAUUGGCUAAAAUUGAACCGCUGCAUAAAUGAGAUUAUGCAGAUUGGUUCAGGCAGGAAAUGUGAAGAAAGUGUCAUUUCCCUAGGCCUUCUGAAUUGUAAUGAGGAGCUGCUUCUCCGGACCAGCAUAGUGUGAUCAUUGACCUAAGGCUGAGUUGAGGACAUCUGGAGUCAACUAUGGACUGCUGUAAUGUGCUAUAUGCUGGGCAACCUUAGUAAGAGAUCUGCUGCCUGCAGCUGGUUCAGAAUACAGUGUCUGAUUGUUGCAGGGGGCGAUUAACAGAGGUCAGUCUGACUGCUCACUGUCUUGCUAUCUAGCUCAGCUGCCUGUUAGCCCAAGUAUCAAGGUUAAAGUUUUUAAUUUUAAUAUUUAAAGCUCCAAAUGGAUUCUAUCCCAAGUGUCUUUCUGAACUUCUGAUGCCCUGUAUUCCAUCCCAGCCUCAAAAGUCAGAGGGAAAGACAGCUUUUUGACCUGAGGGCUUUUAGUGAUGGACUAAGCAGAGGUUGUACUUUUGCCUGUGGAGCUCUAGGUCUGCGGGAAUGCCUUCCUUCCAGAAAUGAGAACAAUCAUACAUUUGGUAUUUCUAAGAGGUCUAUACACCAGCAUUCAGAAAUGUGAGAACCCCUGCACUGUAAGUGUUUUAACUGUUUCUAGAUAUGCUCUGACUGAAAUGUGCACUUGUGCGUUGCACACUGAUUGUGUGAACCCUGCUGGCGCUCACUAAAAGUUCUCUAGUGUGCACUGACUCAGUCCUGUUUCACAGACAGUUGGUGCAUGACACACUGGAACAAACUAGAAUUUACACCCCCAUUGGUGCACACUUAUGCAGCAUGUAGAUAAGCUCUUAGCUCAGGCAGAACACCCAUUACAUUCAGUAGGAGUUUGAUGGGCUCCAGAAUCCGUCAUUUAGUUCAUACUGUCUAUUUUGAUCUACCCAUCAACAGGAUUCAUACUGUAAAGGCGACAAUAUUUAUUCAGGCAUUCUGUAUUUUAACAUCAAAAGCACGGGAUAGAAUUUAAUACACACAGAUUAUUUGGAUAUUUUAUUUUCAUCCAUAAAGUUCUACAAAUGAGCAAAUAAAGGAAGUAAAGAACACUACACUUAAAAUGAAUUGUGUUAACUUUGGCAAACACUCUGUUGCUGAGUUCAUUGCAGUAGCAUUUGCAAAAAUUAUACUAGAUUUUCAGUCCUAUGAGCUUUAUAUUAAAAGUAAAUUAUCACCAUUAAGCUACAAAGGAAUUGCCACAGAGCAUAAAUUUGAAACAAC
Molecule: long non-coding RNA, 3387 nt
Organism: Mauremys reevesii (Reeves's turtle)
Lineage: Eukaryota; Metazoa; Chordata; Testudines; Geoemydidae
Exons: 8
Source: RefSeq, a predicted model, not a curated record